Molecule: non-coding RNA, 640 nt
Organism: Ictidomys tridecemlineatus (thirteen-lined ground squirrel)
Lineage: Eukaryota; Metazoa; Chordata; Mammalia; Rodentia; Sciuridae
Source: RefSeq, a predicted model, not a curated record
UAUCCCUAGGAACAGACUAAUGAGUGGCUGGCUGGUCAUGGGAAGGGUGCAGGCACAAGUGUAAGGAUGCCAUUUGGAAGCAACCACACACUCACUAUGAAGUACUAAGGACAAAAGAAACUUGACAGAGGGGCUGCCGAGGGAUAAAUGGACUAAAUAGAUGUCAGAUCCAGACUACCUCAGAGGACCUGUAUCAGGGCCUACAAAUGAGAACUACUGAAUUCUGGCUAUCGAGUUAUCAAUAAGGCCAUAUCAUAGAUUGCACAAAAGUAUUGCAGGAAAAAAAAAGGGUGCAGAACCUAUUUUGAGUCCUGAAAUCUGAAAGUACCAAAAGGACAGGAUAGAAGGCAGAGGAAAAGCCUUUUAACUUCAAUUGUUGAUGCAGAAGCAUGUUGAAAAGUAUGGUUAGAUCACCACUGAGUAAAUGGAAGACUUCACCUGUAGCCAGCAAGGUUCAUGAGGCCUGUGACUUCUGCGUCACCAGUAGGAAAGGUAAGCAAUGGAGACCCAUUCCCUACCUUCUGUCAAAAACAUCCUUUUGAAUCUGAAGGAGAGACCUAGGCCAGGUGUAUGAAAUGAUCAAUACACAGUUCCUAUUUCCUAUUUGCCUAGAAAUAUACACCAGCCAGCAUCACCAAUG